This 986-nucleotide long non-coding RNA is filed under the name Nicotiana benthamiana. Its description in RNAcentral is "long non-coding RNA (NBEN_LNC019836)". The record is from RNAcentral. Lineage: Eukaryota; Viridiplantae; Streptophyta; Magnoliopsida; Solanales; Solanaceae.
UGAGGAUGUCGAUGACAAUAAGGUUCUUCGACAAAUGAAGUGAUUCAGGUUUUUCAAAAAAAGCAGAGAGAGCCAAUUAACUUAGCUAAUUAGCUCCCCCUGCUCAAAAGAUAUUACAAAGUAUCAUGCAAUCCUGCACAAGUCAACAAGGAAAUGAGCCUACUUAAAAAACAAGCAUAAGAAAAACAAUAGCCUACACCUCCCAUUUUAAGGAACGUCAAAAAAUGAGGAUGUCGAUGACAACAAGGUUUUUUCGACAAAUGAAGUGAUUCAGGUUUUUCAAAAAAAGAAAGCAGAGAGAGCCAAUUAACUCAGCUAAUUAGCUCCCCCUGCUGAAAAGAUAUCACUAAGGAUCACACAAUCCUGCACAAGCCAACAAGGAAAUGAGCCUACUUCAAAAAACAACCAUAAGAAAAACAAUAGCCUACACCUCCCAUUUAUAGAAAUAAUACUCCGGGCAUCCUAUUAAACUUUAUAUAAUAGUAUUUGACAGAACACGAAGAGCAAGAUGCUAAUUUGACUUAUACAUUAUACGAGUUUAACUUGCUGUAGUAGGUUACUCAUUACAUAUUUUUGAGAUACAACCUUCAUAAGAAAUUAAAUCCGUACUGUAUUAGUAAUAAUAAAAGGAAAUAUUACAGCAAUUUGUGAUAUAGUGAAAUAUCGGAUCAAAGUUUAAGAAACAAACUGAAGAAAAUUCAAUAAUCUAAUAAAUAUGAAAUCUUGAAAUUUUUGAAAAAUGAGAUAGAAAUGAAAGAAUGAGACAUAUAUUAGAACCCCAGAAAAACAUUUCUCCCAAAACCAAGCAAGAAUGGCAACAGCGUAGUUCGCAAAAGCUUCAGGAUCGGUCCUAACACUAUUAAGAGAAUCCCAAAUUUCAAUAGCUGAAAUACAUAAAAUGCAAGAGAGCAAAUAAGUUGUAGAUUUCUUAUAGAUAUCAUUUCAAUGAUCAACUGUUUGAUUUGAAACCCAUAUCAAAAACCCAA